UGGCGGCUGUAGCGCGGUGGUCCCACCUGACCCCAUGCCGAACUCAGAAGUGAAACGCCGUAGCGCCGAUGGUAGUGUGGGGCCUCCCCAUGCGAGAGUAGGGAACUGCCAGACA
Molecule: ribosomal RNA, 115 nt
Filed under: Citrobacter freundii
Lineage: Bacteria; Pseudomonadati; Pseudomonadota; Gammaproteobacteria; Enterobacterales; Enterobacteriaceae
Also listed under: 3 other names
Source: RNAcentral